This is a non-coding RNA of Desulfosporosinus meridiei DSM 13257, 380 nucleotides long. The record is from Rfam. Lineage: Bacteria; Bacillati; Bacillota; Clostridia; Eubacteriales; Desulfitobacteriaceae.
GAAGUCAACCAGAUGAUCGCGGAGACAGGGAUCGAAAGAUCGUCUCUGAGGAAAGUCCGAGCUCCAUAGGGCAAGGUGCUGGGUAACGCCCAGUGGGGGAAACCCCAAGGAAAGUGCAACAGAGAUAUACCGCCGAUAGCGGAGGUCUACUGACUUCCGAGUAGGUAAGGGUGGAAAGGCGAGGUAAGAGCUCACCGGCAGUCAGGUGACUGGCUGGCCAUGUAAACCCCACCUGGAGCAAGACCGAAUAGGGGAACGAUGAACGGCCCGUUUUUGUUCCCGGGUAAGGUCGCUAGAGGCCGUCGGUAACGGCGGUUCGAGAUAGAUGAUCAUCACCUCUUUUAAGAGGUACAGAACUCGGCUUAUGGGUGACUUCGCAA